UACAGAGGUCUCGAGCGUUAGGCGGAAUUACUGGGCGUAAAGCGUGCGCAGGCGGUUUUGUAAGUCUGUCGUAAAAGCCCCGGGCUUAACCUGGGAAUUGCGAUGGAGACUGCAAGGCUUGAAUCUGGCAGAGGGGGGUAGAAUUCCACGUGUAGCAGUGAAAUGCGUAGAGAUGUGGAGGAACACCGAUGGCGAAGGCAGCCCCCUGGGUCAAGAUUGACGCUCAUGCACGAAAGCGUGGGGAGCAAACAGG
This 253-nucleotide ribosomal RNA is filed under the name uncultured bacterium. RNAcentral describes it as "partial 16S ribosomal RNA". It matches the Rfam family "Bacterial small subunit ribosomal RNA", at positions 524 to 776 of the family's 1533-position model. The record is from RNAcentral.